AAUCAUCAUCUCAGGGUCUGGAGUCUAAGAUGUCUGUAGAUGUACGGGGACCCUCUAUGCACCGAACCCAAUACGUUCAUUCCCCGUAUGAUCGUCCUGG
Molecule: small RNA, 100 nt
Filed under: Pan troglodytes (chimpanzee)
Lineage: Eukaryota; Metazoa; Chordata; Mammalia; Primates; Hominidae
Also listed under: 1 other name
Description: processed transcript
Source: RNAcentral